This 420-nucleotide ribosomal RNA is filed under the name uncultured cyanobacterium. Its description in RNAcentral is "bacterial SSU rRNA". It matches the Rfam family "Bacterial small subunit ribosomal RNA", at positions 376 to 811 of the family's 1533-position model. The record is from RNAcentral. Lineage: Bacteria; Bacillati; Cyanobacteriota.
CGAAAGCCUGACGGAGCAAUACCGCGUGAGGGAGGAAGGCCUUUGGGUUGUAAACCUCUUUUCUCAGGGAAGAAGAUCUGACGGUACCUGAGGAAUAAGCAUCGGCUAACUCCGUGCCAGCAGCCGCGGUAAUACGGAGGAUGCAAGCGUUAUCCGGAAUUAUUGGGCGUAAAGCGUCCGCAGGUGGUCUUUCAAGUCUGCUGUCAAAGACCAGAGCUUAACUCUGGGCAGGCGGUGGAAACUGAGAGACUAGAGUUCGGUAGGGGUAGCGGGAAUUCCCAGUGUAGCGGUGAAAUGCGUAGAUAUUGGGAAGAACAUCGGCGGCGAAGGCGCGCUACUGGACCGAAACUGACACUCAGGGACGAAAGCUAGGGGAGCGAAAGGGAUUAGAUACCCCUGUAGUCCUAGCUGUAAACGAUG